This 102-nucleotide ribosomal RNA is filed under the name Erinaceus europaeus (western European hedgehog). The record is from RNAcentral. Lineage: Eukaryota; Metazoa; Chordata; Mammalia; Eulipotyphla; Erinaceidae.
UACAGCCAUACCACCCUGAACAUGCCUGAUCUCGUAAGCUAAGCAGGGUCCGGCCUGGUUAGUACUUACAUGGGAGAUCCUGAGUUCAGUUCCUGGCAGUAC